UACGGAGGGUGCAAGCGUUAUCCGGAAUCACUGGGUUUAAAGGGUGCGUAGGCGGUCUGAUAAGUCAGUCGUGAAAUCGCUGGGCUUAACCUUUGCAACUGCGAUUGAUACUGUUAGACUUGAAUGAGAUUGAGGCAGGCGGAAUGUGGCAUGUAGCGGUGAAAUGCUUAGAUAUGCCAUAGAACACCAAUUGCGAAGGCAGCCUGCUGGGCCUUUAUUGACGCUGAGGCACGAAAGCGUGGGGAGCAAACAGG
Molecule: ribosomal RNA, 254 nt
Filed under: uncultured bacterium
Lineage: Bacteria
Description: partial 16S ribosomal RNA
Rfam family: Bacterial small subunit ribosomal RNA
Source: RNAcentral